UGUCGUUGAUUUCUCCUUCUGAUAACCAUGAUGUCAUUAAUUUGGUGUUGUGGGGAGUCAGGACUGUUACUUGUAAAAAUUAGAGUGUUAAAGCAGGCCUACGCUUGAAUACAUUAGCAUGGAAUAAUGAAAUAGGACGUUUCGAACCUAUUUUGUUGGUUUCUAGGAUCAACGUAAUGAUUAAUAGGGAUAGUUGGGGGCAUUAGUAUUCAAUUGUCAGAGGUGAAAUUCUUGGAUUUAUUGAAGACUAACUACUGCGAAAAGCAUUUGCCAAGGAUGUUUUCAUUAAUCAAGGACGAAAGUUAGGGGAUCGAAGACGAUCAGAUACCGUCGUAGUCUUAACCAUAAACUAUGCCGACUAGGGAUCGGAUGAUGUUAAUUUUAAUGACUCAUUCGGCGCCUUACG
RNAcentral lists this ribosomal RNA (406 nucleotides) under uncultured Glomus. Its description in RNAcentral is "SSU rRNA". It matches the Rfam family "Eukaryotic small subunit ribosomal RNA", at positions 686 to 1092 of the family's 1831-position model. The record is from RNAcentral. Lineage: Eukaryota; Fungi; Glomeromycota; Glomeromycetes; Glomerales; Glomeraceae.